GACGAACGCUGGCGGCGUGCUUAACACAUGCAAGUCGAACGGAAAGGCCCUGCUUUUGUGGGGUGCUCGAGUGGCGAACGGGUGAGUAACACGUGAGUAACCUGCCCUUGACUUUGGGAUAACUUCAGGAAACUGGGGCUAAUACCGGAUAGGAGCUCCUGCUGCAUGGUGGGGGUUGGAAAGUUUCGGCGGUUGGGGAUGGACUCGCGGCUUAUCAGCUUGUUGGUGGGGUAGUGGCUUACCAAGGCUUUGACGGGUAGCCGGCCUGAGAGGGUGACCGGCCACAUUGGGACUGAGAUACGGCCCAGAGUCCUACGGGGGGCAGCAGUGGGGAAUUUUGCACAAUGGGCGGAAGCCUGAUGCAGCAACGCCGCGUGCGGGAUGACGGCCUUCGGGUUGUAAACCGCUUUCGCCUGUGACGAAGCGUGAGUGACGGUAAUGGGUAAAGAAGCAACGGCUAACUACGUG
Molecule: ribosomal RNA, 468 nt
Filed under: uncultured bacterium
Lineage: Bacteria
Description: partial 16S ribosomal RNA
Rfam family: Bacterial small subunit ribosomal RNA
Source: RNAcentral